This 909-nucleotide ribosomal RNA is filed under the name uncultured bacterium. RNAcentral's name for it is "bacterial SSU rRNA". It matches the Rfam family "Bacterial small subunit ribosomal RNA", at positions 37 to 935 of the family's 1533-position model. The record is from RNAcentral.
UGGCGGCGUGGUUAAGACAUGCAAGUCGAACGGAACAUUAUGAGUAGCAAUACAAGUAGUGUUUAGUGGCGAACGGGUGCGUAACACGUGGAUACAUUCCGGGAAGCGGGGGAUAGCCCAGGGAAACUUGGAUUAAUACCGCAUGUGAUCGAGAGAUCAAAGACGGGGACCGCAAGGCCUGUCACUUCCCGAUUGGUCCGCGGCCUAUCAGCUAGUUGGCGGGGUAAAAGCCCACCAAGGCGACGACGGGUAGCUGGUCUGAGAGGACGACCAGCCACACUGGAACUGAGACACGGUCCAGACACCUACGGGUGGCAGCAGUCGAGAAUCUUUCACAAUGGGGGCAACCCUGAUGGAGCGACGCCGCGUGGAGGAUAAGGUCUUCGGAUUGUAAACUCCUGUCAUGUGUGAACAAGGUUGCGGGGCUAAUACCUUUGCAAAUUGAUGGUAACACAAGAGGAAGAGACGGCUAACUCUGUGCCAGCAGCCGCGGUAAUACAGAGGUCUCAAGCGUUGUUCGGAAUCACUGGGCGUAAAGGGUGCGUAGGUGGCGUGGUAAGUCAGAUGUGAAAGCCCGGGGCUCAACCUCGGAAUUGCAUCCGAUACUGCCAUGCUUGAGUACUGAAGAGGUGACUAGAAUUCUAGGUGUAGCAGUGAAAUGCGUAGAUAUCUAGAGGAAUACCAAAGGCGAANGCAGGUCACUGGGCAGUUACUGACACUGAGGCACGAAGGCCAGGGGAGCGAACGGGAUUAGAUACCCCGGUAGUCCUGGCAGUAAACGGUGCACGUUUGGUAUGGGCGCAAUCGACCGCGCCCGUGCCGGAGCUAACGCGUUAAACGUGCCGCCUGGGAAGUACGGUCGCAAGAUUAAAACUCAAAGAAAUUGACGGGGACCCGCACAAGCGGNGG